This 497-nucleotide ribosomal RNA is filed under the name uncultured bacterium. Its description in RNAcentral is "partial 16S ribosomal RNA". It matches the Rfam family "Bacterial small subunit ribosomal RNA", at positions 29 to 507 of the family's 1533-position model. The record is from RNAcentral.
AAUGAACGCUGGCGGCAUGCCUAAUACAUGCAAGUCGAACGAACAGACGAGGAGCUUGCUCCCCUGACGUUGGCGGCGGGCGGAUGCGUAACACGUGGAUAGCAUACCUCUACGACUGGGGUAAUUACGGGAGACCAGAGCUACUACCGGAUAAUAUAUUGAACCGCAUGGUUCACUAGUUAAAGACGGUUUUGGUGUCAGUAAUAGCUGAAUCCGGGCUGCAUUAGCUAGUUGGUAAGGUAACGGCUUACCAAGGCAACGAUGCGUAGCCGACCUGAGAGGGUGAUCAGCCACACUGGAACUGAGACACGGUCCAGACUCCUACGGGAGGCAGCAGUCGGGAAUCUUACGCAAUGGGCGAAAGCCUGACGUAGCAACACCGCGUGAGUGAUGAAGGACUUCGGAUCGUAAAGCGCUGUUAUUAGGAAAGAACAAAUGCUUAUUUAACCAGGCACGUCUUGACGGUACCGAAACAAUAAGCCACGGCUAACUACGUG